This is a long non-coding RNA of Ictalurus punctatus (channel catfish), 709 nucleotides long. The record is from Ensembl. Lineage: Eukaryota; Metazoa; Chordata; Actinopteri; Siluriformes; Ictaluridae.
AACAGUCAGACCUACUAUCACUGGAAAAAUGCUAUGCCACUCCAAUUACCCCGACUCUGACUUCACUUUUUUACUCCUGUGUGAUUUCAUGCAGUGACUGAAUCAUAUCUAUCUCAGCUCUAAAUCAUUAUUAUAGUUUUAUGUGUAUAUUGACCGAAUGACAUUAUGUGGCCAUUCAUCAUGCACCAAUGGAAACAAAGCAGUAUCCAUCUGGAGCAGGGAAAAGGAAGAGAAGAACGGAAGAAGAAGAAAAAUAAGCUCAAACUUGAGGUUUGUUUCAGAAUGGGAUAUGCUGAAAUGUGUAAGCGCUAGUGUAAGAGCUGCAGAGACAAGCCAUCUAAGGAUAUUCCUGGGGCCUCAUUUAUAUACAAAUGGGCUCCCUCUCCUCAUCUCCCCUAACCAAUACCCUGAUUACUGUGGCCCAAAGCAUCUCUACCUACCGGACACGCAUACAGUGAGGAAGUCAUGUGCCAACUGUGAAUAACUGAGACCAGUGCAGUGGUAUAUUACGGCGUCACAGACCGUUCGGCCAGCCUUGCUCCAUGUUGUCUACAACAAGCAGAAUGCAGGUUACUGUGCUGUUUAAAGGGAACUUGUUUACCAUUUGUGGUCAUUUUGGGGCAUAUCUUUAUGCAAAUAAGCGUGGCCGUGCAGGACCACAGCAGUUUAGUGUGCUUAUGUGUUAAUAGUUUUUUACAAAAGCAAGUAG